This 63-nucleotide transfer RNA is filed under the name Ctenolepisma villosum. RNAcentral describes it as "Ctenolepisma villosa tRNA-Gly". It matches the Rfam family "tRNA". From Rfam's summary of the family: Transfer RNA (tRNA) molecules are approximately 80 nucleotides in length. Their secondary structure includes four short double-helical elements and three loops (D, anti-codon, and T loops). Further hydrogen bonds mediate the characteristic L-shaped molecular structure. tRNAs have two regions of fundamental functional importance: the anti-codon, which is responsible for specific mRNA codon recognition, and the 3' end, to which the tRNAs corresponding amino acid is attached (by aminoacyl-tRNA synthetases). tRNAs cope with the degeneracy of the genetic code in two manners: having more than one tRNA (with a specific anti-codon) for a particular amino acid; and 'wobble' base-pairing, i.e. permitting non-standard base-pairing at the 3rd anti-codon position. The record is from RNAcentral. Lineage: Eukaryota; Metazoa; Arthropoda; Insecta; Zygentoma; Lepismatidae.
AUUUAUUUAGUAUAUUAGUACAUUUGACUUCCAAUCAAAAAGUUCAUAGACAUGAAAUAAAUA